AUUGAACGCUGGCGGCAGGCCUAACACAUGCAAGUCGAGCGGAUGAAGGGAGCUUGCUCCUGGAUUCCGCGGCGGACGGGUGAGUAAUGCCUAGGAAUCUGCCUGGUAGUGGGGGAUAACGUCCGGAAACGGGCGCUAAUACCGCAUACGUCCUGAGGGAGCUAGUGGGGGAUCUUCGGACCUCACGCUAUCAGAUGAGCCUAGGUCGGAUUAGCUAGUUGGUGGGGUAAAGGCCUACCAAGGCGACGAUCCGUAACUGGUCUGAGAGGAUGAUCAGUCACACUGGAACUGAGACACGGUCCAGACUCCUACGGGAGGCAGCAGUGGGGAAUAUUGGACAAUGGGCGAAAGCCUGAUCCAGCCAUGCCGCGUGUGUGAAGAAGGUCUUCGGAUUGUAAAGCACUUUAAGUUGGGAGGAAGGGCAGUAAGUUAAUACCUUGCUGUUUUGACGUUACCAACAGAAUAAGCACCGGCUAACUUCGUG
RNAcentral lists this ribosomal RNA (484 nucleotides) under uncultured bacterium. Its description in RNAcentral is "partial 16S ribosomal RNA". It matches the Rfam family "Bacterial small subunit ribosomal RNA", at positions 30 to 507 of the family's 1533-position model. The record is from RNAcentral.